GAUGAAGAACGUAGUGAAAUGCGAUACGUAGUGUGAAUUGCAGAAUUCAGUGAAUCAUCGAAUCUUUGAACGCACAUUGCACCUCUCGGUAUUCCGGGAGGUAUGCCUGUUCGAGCGUCAUUUGUACCCUCAAGCUCUGCUUGGUGUUGGGUGUUUGUUCCGCCUCUGUGUGUGAACUCGCCUCAAAACAAUUGGCAGCCGGCGUACUUGUUUCGGAGCGCAGCACAUUUUGCGAUCCAGAUCAACGUACAGCGGCAUCCAAGAAGCCUUAUUUAACGCUCUUGACCUCGGAUCAGGUAGGGAUACCCGCUGAACUUAAGCAUAUCAAUAAGCGGGAGGA
RNAcentral lists this unclassified non-coding RNA (340 nucleotides) under soil metagenome. RNAcentral's name for it is "partial contains 5.8S ribosomal RNA, internal transcribed spacer 2, and large subunit ribosomal RNA". The stretch from base 1 to 120 matches the Rfam family "5.8S ribosomal RNA", at positions 35 to 154 of the family's 154-position model. The record is from RNAcentral.